This 124-nucleotide small nucleolar RNA is filed under the name Castor canadensis (American beaver). RNAcentral's name for it is "Small nucleolar RNA SNORA38 (ENSCCNG00000001219.1)". It matches the Rfam family "Small nucleolar RNA SNORA38", at positions 20 to 131 of the family's 131-position model. Rfam says of the family: ACA38 is a member of the H/ACA class of snoRNA that guide the sites of modification of uridines to pseudouridines. Lineage: Eukaryota; Metazoa; Chordata; Mammalia; Rodentia; Castoridae. The record is from Rfam by way of RNAcentral.
CCCUUGUUGUUCCCACAACACAUGUCUUUGGGCAUGUAAGAAUUUAAGGCAAAGAAAUGUGGAUUUGAAGAAAUCUGGGGUGAGUUUGCUCCCUGCAGACUCAAGAUCAAACUAUAGCACAUAG